UGAAGGGAGUAUUACAGUAACAACAUGUCCCUAUGGCUGUGAAACUCCACUGAACAUACACACGACGCUGGAGCUCUAAGUGCAUUCAAAAUGAUCAAGGCUAUGAUCUCAAGGCAAGAGAUGACAAAAAUCACCUGGUCCAUCACCCAUUAACUGAAGACCCAGACAGAUGGAGGUGUAAGUUGUGAACCUUUUAUACAUGAAGCCCUGAAACACUCGGGAUGCUGAACCAAACCUAUGGGCAGCAACAGAGUGUGCCAACCACUAGGAAAGGCCAGACCUAUUCCUACAGCAUUUUGUACCAAUGCCAAAGGAGUUCCCCAUUGGGCACAACUGUGUUAGAGAAGCAUGGGUCAAGCUGAACUGGACAAGAUCCGGAUGUGGACACUUCAAAACAACACUGUACAAGAACACCUUGGGCAGCCCCUGGCGUCCAGCAACCAGCCCAGCACUUCAUGGAAAGUCUCUAGAAAAGGCCCAGACCGGGCAGAGGGAGUCUGCAGACAGAUUGGGACGUUGCUCUGACUCCACAGGACAGAAGAGGGAGGUGGCUAUGCACCGCGACACCUGCUGAAUGGCUGGAGGGGGAAGCAGGCUCCCGUGCAGAGACAGCGGCACCUCUGAACUCUCCACAGCGCCUCUAUUUCCUCGUAGAGCUCCUUCAGCUCAGGGUCCCUGGCGCCCGGGCAGCUCAGCCCCGCGGCCCGUGUCAGCGCAGCGCGGCUCGGCUUGGCUCGGGGGCAGGAAGCGUGUCAGGCUCCGAGAACAACCGCGCGGCGGCCGGAGCUCUCCCGAAGGAGCGCGCGGAUGAAUGGAGGCGGCGGUGAGCGGUAGCAGACAGAAGCCAUUACUCACUUCCUCUCGGCUCGGCCCGGCUGCGGCUCUGCACACUGCGGCUGCAGCUUCAUUUCCUCCAGUCAACCGCGAGCCUCCCGGCGGGGCGCGCGACAAGUGCCUCAGGACCGGGCACGGGCUCCCGUCCCUUCAGCGCUUUUAUCCCCGAGCCGCCUUCAUUUGUGUCUGCCUUUGUCGCUGACAGCCCUUGCUUGCCCUGCAGCUGUGCCUUUUUUGUAACCGUGAAACUGCUCUUCUGUUACUGCAUUAAAGAAACCUGCUAAUAAAGUACAUGGAGCGUCUCA
Molecule: long non-coding RNA, 1139 nt
Organism: Alligator mississippiensis (American alligator)
Lineage: Eukaryota; Metazoa; Chordata; Crocodylia; Alligatoridae
Exons: 2
Source: RefSeq, a predicted model, not a curated record